RNAcentral lists this ribosomal RNA (213 nucleotides) under uncultured prokaryote. Its description in RNAcentral is "partial 16S ribosomal RNA". It matches the Rfam family "Bacterial small subunit ribosomal RNA", at positions 525 to 737 of the family's 1533-position model. The record is from RNAcentral.
ACGUAGGGUGCGAGCGUUAAUCGGAAUUACUGGGCGUAAAGCGUGCGCAGGCGGUUCGUUAAGUCAGAUGUGAAUGCCCCGGGCUUAACCUGGGAACGGCAUUUGAAACUGGCGGGCUGGAGUGUGGCAGAGGGGGGUGGAAUUCCACGUGUAGCAGUGAAAUGCGUAGAGAUGUGGAGGAACACCGAUGGCGAAGGCAGCCCCCUGGGCCAA